GGUAAAAUGGCUGAGUAAUAGCAUUAGACUGUAAAUCUAAUCAUAGAGGUUUGAGCCCUCUUUUUACCA
This 69-nucleotide transfer RNA is filed under the name Geomys pinetis (southeastern pocket gopher). Its description in RNAcentral is "tRNA-Tyr". It matches the Rfam family "tRNA". From Rfam's summary of the family: Transfer RNA (tRNA) molecules are approximately 80 nucleotides in length. Lineage: Eukaryota; Metazoa; Chordata; Mammalia; Rodentia; Geomyidae. The record is from RNAcentral.